Molecule: ribosomal RNA, 497 nt
Filed under: uncultured bacterium
Lineage: Bacteria
Description: partial 16S ribosomal RNA
Rfam family: Bacterial small subunit ribosomal RNA
Source: RNAcentral
GACGAACGCUGGCGGCGUGCCUAAUACAUGCAAGUUGAGCGAUGAAGCUUGGUGCUUGCACCAAUUUGAAGAGCAGCGAACGGGUGAGUAACGCGUGGGGAAUCUGCCUUUGAGCGGGGGACAACAUUUGGAAACGAAUGCUAAUACCGCAUAACAACUUUAAACAUAAGUUUUAAGUUUGAAAGAUGCAAUUGCAUCACUCAAAGAUGAUCCCGCGUUGUAUUAGCUAGUUGGUGGGGUAAAGGCUCACCAAGGCGAUGAUACAUAGCCGACCUGAGAGGGUGAUCGGCCACAUUGGGACUGAGACACGGCCCAAACUCCUACGGGAGGCAGCAGUAGGGAAUCUUCGGCAACGGACGAAAGUCUGACCGAGCAACGCCGCGUGAGUGAAGAAGGUUUUCGGAUCGUAAAACUCUGUUGGUAGAGAAGAACGUUGGUGAGAGUGGAAAGCUCAUCAAGUGACGGUAACUACCCAGAAAGGGACGGCUAACUACGUG